RNAcentral lists this ribosomal RNA (497 nucleotides) under uncultured bacterium. RNAcentral describes it as "partial 16S ribosomal RNA". It matches the Rfam family "Bacterial small subunit ribosomal RNA", at positions 28 to 507 of the family's 1533-position model. The record is from RNAcentral.
GAUGAACGCUGGCGGCGUGCCUAAUACAUGCAAGUCGAGCGAACGGACGAGAAGCUUGCUUCUCUGAUGUUAGCGGCGGACGUGUGAGUAACACGUGGAUAACCUACCUAUAAGACUGGGAUAACUUCGGGAAACCGGAGCUAAUACCGGAUGAUAUUUUGAACCGCAUGGUUCAAAAGUGAAAGACGGUCUUGCUGUCACUUAUAGAUGGAUCCGCGCUGCAUUAGCUAGUUGGUAAGGUAACGGCUUACCAAGGCAACGAUGCAUAGCCGACCUGAGAGGGUGAUAGGCGACACUGGAACUGAGACACGGUCCAGACUCCUACGGGAGGCAGCAGUAGGGAAUCUUCCGCAAUGGGCGAAAGCCUGACGGAGCAACGCCGCGUGAGUGAUGAAGGUCUUCGGAUCGUAAAACUCUGUUAUUAGGGAAGAACAUAUGUGUAAGUAACUGUGCACAUCUUGACGGUACCUAAUCAGAAAGCCACGGCUAACUACGUG